AACGAGACCGGCUUUAUUUUUCUAAUUGGAAUUCCUAUUUUAUUAUUUGUUUUCUUAGGAAUUUGAAGUAAUCGCACAAAUUAAGCUCUUGCAGUCCUCAUGUAACAGCUAUUGCAUGUCAGCAGAUGAGAAAUUCGUGCAGUGGUUUAGGAGGCAGCGGCAUUUAAGUGAUGAGGAGAGGUAGGGUCUCAGCCCAGCUGGCGAAGCAGCUUUUCUUGCCCCGCAGGCAGGUUCAGGUUCUCUCAGCCUUGAGCUCUGCGCUGCCAGGAGCUGCUCCCGGAGAGUGGAAAUACACCCGCACAGAGCUGCGCUCCUCCUUGUGGGGAUGCCACCCUCUGGGGCGUGGGAAUGGCCCAGGGCUUCUCAAAUAUGGCCACUCUGAGAUAUUUAACUGAUGGUGUUGCCUGUUCUGCAGUUUCCGGCUUUCACGCGAAAUUGAAGGAGCUGUUGACAAGAGUGUCGCAUCGGCCAAAGCUCAGAGGAGCGUGGUGAAGAGAUUCAGCCUGCCGUUCCUGGGCUUGGGGGUGAGCGCCCACAGCACACCCGUCAACGCGCAGCCCAAACCUGCUCCAGGUGGGAGCUCUGGGGACAGCACCGUCACCAUCGUCCCUCCCACCGACACUGCCGAGGAGCCUCAGCACAAGUGCUCCAAGAAGUGCCCCGACUCCGUGACUCCCAUUGCAACCAAAGACGUGCCGCCAGUCCUGCCAGUUUACAACCAACAGAACGGAGAGAGCUGCAUCAUCCGGACCAGCGUAGAGGAGGACAGAAGUGGCAACAUCUACAGGAGCAUCCUGCUGACUAACCAAGAGAAGGCUCCUGCUGUCAUCCAGAGAGCCCUGGAGAAGCACAGCCUGCAGUGUGGCUCGGCCGAGGAUUACGAGCUGGUACAGAUCAUCUCCGAGGACAAAGGUGGGGAAGCAGAACUCUGCUGCUGCUGCUUGAACGGUGCUGCUGCAUUUUGACGGCAAGAGUGACACGCGAAGCGACGUCAGGAACGCCACGGACACGUUGUCACAGCUGCCGGUGAGAAUAAACCCCUAAGGCUGAGUGGUGCGCCAACUCACGCUGGCUCUGCUCCCUCUCUUGCAGAGCUGGCGAUCCCACCCAAGGCGAACGUGUUCUACGCCAUGAACACCCAGGCCAACUUCCAUUUCAUCCUGAGGAGAAAAGCUGCAGCACAGGAGGAGCCUGCGCCCCAUGGAUUUUAAUGGUUGAGCCUUCUAUAGGAUUUACUGCUUAUAUUAUAACUAUGGAAACUUUUUUUCCUCCAGGUUUAGUCGGGAGUUGAUAUAUUUCAAUAUGUGACCUGUAUCUAAUGUUUGAGCUUUGUAUAAUAUUUAAUAUUUAUAUAACAAGUCUAUUACCUUUUUUCCAGUUUUUGUCUGCAGUUCAUGUAUUGUAAUACUUGAUGUUUUUAUCAUAUUUAAUCUUUACAUACUUGCAUAGAAACAUUCAUUAGUAUAUAACCCUUUUUCCACUAAAUUCUGCUUGGAGUUACUAUAUUUCAGUAGCUUAGCUUUACAGAAUAUUUGAGCUUUGUAUAAUAUUUAAUAUCUUUAGAAUAAGUACAUAACAUUUUUUCCACUAAUUUCUAAUUGGAGUUAAU
Columba livia (rock pigeon) is the source of this 1609-nucleotide long non-coding RNA. RefSeq lists it as uncharacterized. The record is from RefSeq and is a predicted model, not a curated record. Lineage: Eukaryota; Metazoa; Chordata; Aves; Columbiformes; Columbidae. The transcript has 4 exons.